UGCACCUCAGCCGAAGAACUUAUAAGGUCUCUUGUCAACUGAAGCAGUUUCGGAUAAUGGCUCAAAGCUUGCAGCUUUUGCAGCAGAGACGCUUGAUCCUUCUCUGUGUUGGAAGGACAUAGACUGGUUAAGGUCUGUCGCUAGUUUGCCAAUUCUAGUCAAAGGGGUCCUGACAGCUGAAGCUGCAAUAAAAGCUAUGGAAGUAGGGGUUGCUGGGAUUGUUGUAGUGAAGUUUGUUGAGGUUUUAUUAUCUUUGUUCGGUAGUGCUGUUUCAUAGUGACAUAAUUUUUCUUUGUUCCCAGAAACAUUUGAAGUGGCUAAAACAAUAUCGAUGGGGCCAUCAUUGAAAAGUGGAUCAAAAGUUGGGAAAAGUGGAUCAAAAGUUCACGAACCAGACGAGCAUCCUCCCCAACAUAUUUCUUAACAAGUUCACAAAGCCAAAUUGUACAAGACUACUUGGCAGUAUAAGCAUUUUUGGGAGGAUUAAAUAUUUUUGGAUGGAUGUGUAUAGAUAACAAAUAUUAGUAGUUUUGAUUUGUUGAUAGCUGCGCAUGGAUAAUAAAUAGUUAUGUUUCAAAUUGUUAUGAUACAUGAAUGUGACUUGUGAAUGAAAACUUAGAAUAGUUGUAUUGUGUCGAAUGUUAAUGAAUUAUG
Non-coding RNA from Camellia sinensis, 654 nucleotides. Lineage: Eukaryota; Viridiplantae; Streptophyta; Magnoliopsida; Ericales; Theaceae. The record is from RefSeq and is a predicted model, not a curated record.